UAUAAUUUUGUUUCUGUUUUAGCAAAAGGAAUCAUUUUACUUCCAAGAAAAACAUUUUUUUGCUAAAAGUCAUGUUAAAAUAUUUAGAAGAUUCUUGUUUCAUGUAAAAUCUGCUCAUUAUAGAAAGAUAUUUAAUAUUUUACAAUUAAGUAGCUAAUCAGUUUUGUUUUCUCUUCUCUUGGAUUAUAUGUGAUUUAUUUCAAAUAUAUAUUGUGCUUUACGUAGAGAAUAAUCUGGGGACAACUUUGAAGCUCUAGAGUAGUUCAUUAAAUUAUAACCAUUAUAUGGAAGAAAAUACAAGCUCCUUUGUAGAAGAUGCUAUUUUUUAUAUUGCCUCACUAACUUUGUUACUGAUUCAGUGAUACCUAUCACUUGUUUUCUCAGCUUUGUUUGUAAAUUAGAUAAAAGUGAAUGCCUGAAGUGCUAAGAUCAUCAAGAACUAAUGACUCUUGAUAGUGAGAGGGCACUGGCACUAGCACACAGAGUUGGCAUGAUCCAUCGGAAGACACGUCCUGGGAGCCCCACAGCUUCUGACACAGGUGGUAGUCUUCUCCACAGGUGGCCGAGCUAUCCUUGGUGUGGACUCACGAUGGAAACCUUGGAAGUGUCUCCUUGCCCCAAAGGGAGAGUUGCUCUGUGGAGUGUCGAGUACCAGGCGGAGCUCCUCUACCGCCUCAUAGAGCACAUCGUCCAUGAGCUCAAGGACGCAGGGGUUUUCAGUCUCACCUGGAAGAAUAACAUCAGCAGGAGGAGCAGCGAGGACGGCGUGGGCUGUGGAGCCGAGCACAAUGACAGCGCCUUCCUGGAGCCUGGGUACCACAUCUGCCUGGAAGAUCUUGGCGAUCUCCACAGAGCUGCCUGGAGGGGCAUAGUCCCCAGAGUGGAGCUCAUCCUCAUGCUCAGGGACCCUGGCUUGGACAAGAGAGACAAGAAGAAGAGGUCCCGCAGCACCUGGGAUGUGGAAUCCCUGGAGGAGUCACAGGGCCCAGGCCGCUUCAUGAGCCCCCAAAACGAAAACCACAUGCAGCCGUGA
This is a long non-coding RNA of Pan troglodytes (chimpanzee), 1033 nucleotides long. Lineage: Eukaryota; Metazoa; Chordata; Mammalia; Primates; Hominidae. The record is from Ensembl.